This 2059-nucleotide ribosomal RNA is filed under the name Unotosolenus ostium. RNAcentral describes it as "SSU rRNA". It matches the Rfam family "Eukaryotic small subunit ribosomal RNA". The record is from RNAcentral. Lineage: Eukaryota; Euglenozoa; Stavomonadea; Petalomonadida; Scytomonadidae.
GUCAUAUGCUUUUUUCAAGGGCUAAGCCAUGCAAGUGAAAGAGUAACUGUAUCUAGAGGAGGUCUGCAGACGGCUCAUUAUAUCAUCAAUGAUCUACCCGGCGACGGCUGCGUCAAGCGGCCCAUCUGGAUAACCACACUAACUGUGUGGCUAAUACAUGUAAGACAGUGCUUGCUCCCAUCCCAGCACUGAGGGGUGACCCAAAGUGCGGGUGCAGGCAACUAUUGCCCGAAACAAAAACCAACGCCAGUAAUGGCACAAACAGACUGUUGAGACAGGGCAACUUGAUGAAAGCGCAUGUCUUCGGAUGGCGCGGUGCCGGACGAAUUUAUGCCCUAUCAGCUUUGAUGGUAGGGUAGUGGCCUACCAUGGCUUUGACGGGUAACGGGGAAUUGGGGUUCGAUUCCGGAGAGGGUGCCUGAGAAAUGGCAACCAUACCUAAGGGAAGCAGCAGGCGCGCAAAUUGCCCAAUGCCAACACUGGCGAGGCAGCGACGAAAAAUAACAACUCUGCACACUUUGUGUCGCGGAGUUUGUAAUGGACUGUAUUUAAAUCCACUGCUGAGUAUCUAUUGGAGGGCAAGUCUGGUGCCAGCAGCCGCGGUAAUUCCAGCUCCAAUAGCGUAUAUCAAUGUUGUUGCGGUUAAAAAGCUCGUAGUUGGAUUCAGAGUUUAUGGUUGUGGGCAGGCUACCCCUGCGUGUUCUUCCUCUUUGGAUUUGCACUAGGGGGUGGAACAACUGCCCACAAUAACCAUAACCCUUCGUACAUGGAAUAGUUCGGUCGGCAGAAGUCUCCUUCACUGUGAGAUGGAUGCACCUUCGGAGCUAACACACUCCCUCAGACCCGUCCAUGGAUGUUACUGUGAGUAAAACAGGCUGUUCAAAGGAACCGACUCUGUUCGGUUUGAAUGAUUCAGCAUGGAAUAACAAGGGAUCGACCAUUGGUGGCCUUCUUUUUGUUGGUUUUCUAGCCCCAGUGUGGCAAUUCAGAACAAGUGCCCCACCAUGUUAACCGGCCAAGGGUCCGCCUGAGGUCGGUGCAUGCGUGAGCCUUGCUUCUUAUCGGGAUCAAUAGGUGCAGAAGGGGGUGUCAGUAUUUCCGGGUGAGAGGUGAAAUUCUUAGACCCUGGAAAGACUCCCAGAAGCGAAAGCGGUCACCAAUUCUGCAUUCAUUAAUCAAGAACGAGAGUAAGGGGAUCGAAGAUGAUCAGAUACCGUCGUAGUCCUUUCCGUAAAUUAUGCUGGCUUGGGAUCGGUCAAUGCUCUCUAUUGACCUGAUCGGCACCUCCCUUGAGCGAGAAAUCAAAGCGUUUGAGUUCCGGGGGGAGUAUAUUCGCAAGGCUGAAACUUAAAGGAAUUGACGGAAAAGCACCACCAGACGUGGAGUGUGUGGCUUAAUUUGACUCAACACGGGAAAUUUUACCAGGUCAGGACAUGGUUAGGAUUGCCAGAUUGAGAGUUCUUGCAUGAUUCCAUGAAUGGUGGUGCAUGGCCGUUCUUGGUUGGUGGAGUGAUUUGUCUGCUUAAUUGCGAUAACGAACGAGAUCUCUGCCAAUAAAUAGAUGCUGCUUCCGCGUUUGUAGGCCAGCAGCUGAAGCGUGCUUGCACAAUUCAGGUCUGUUGUGCUGAGGAAGCAGAAAUUUACUCAUUGGGAUUAUGCAUCCUUUCAAUGCAUUGAAACUAGAGCCAAUAGCAGGUCUGUGAUGCUCCUUAUAUGUUCUGGGCUGCACGCGCACUACAUGACGCAGUCAGCAAGCUUUACGCUUUGCGGUCCUGGCCCGAAGGGGUUGGGGAAUCUUUUGAGCCUGCGUCGUGAUAGGGAUAGAUGGUUGCAAUUAUUUGCCUUGAACGAGGAAUGUCUAGUAGGCCCGUUUCAUCAGAACGGACCGAUUACGUCCCUGCUUUUUGUACACACCGCCCGUCGUUGCUACCGAUUGGUUGGAAGGUAAAACCAUUUGGAGGUGGCAUCAUGCUUGCUUCGGCUUGUGUGUCGUUGCCAAAAUUUGGUGAUAUUUUGCAACUAGAGGAAGCAAAAGUCGUAACAAGGUAGCUGUAGGUGA